CCUUGCUCUUCCAACUGUCAUUCUGGUCCUGCCAGUCAACUUUAGAAUUCCAAAAUCCUCCAACUCCAUCUUAACAAGGGGAAGAAUAUUAUUAUUAGAAGGAGAGGAAGAGAGUGCUAAAAGUCCUAUGAUAACCCAGAUCUUCUCCAUUGUCAGAAUCAUGCCCAAAUUCAUACCUGUUGUAUUCUUCUGGAUCAGCACCUUCAGUUUGAUCUUCACAAUGAAGACCAUCAUAAGCCUCUUCCUCCUUUCCUUUGUCUUGACUGUCAACAGUCAGAAUGAAGCUAGAAAGUGGUUUGGUGAAGGUGUUAAGGAAGUGUGUUCGUUUAUCUGUGAGGUGGAUUCUGUUAAUGAUUUACCUCCUGGUGGAAAUGAUGCAACCGGUUAUAAUGGGGAUUCCACAUUUAAAAGCAACAUCCAGAAAGAUGAUGCUGCGGGCCGAUGCUUCCAUUAAUCUGUUUAGUACACAAAUGGCAGGAACCUCGACUCCUAAGUUGGCUUUGCUUCUUGAUAACUCCUCUACAUAGCUUGUGAGCUUCUCCUGGAGUAACCCUUCUUCCUUGCUCCCCCAACCCACUAUUGCAUGUGUGCAAGGUGUAGCUGCUAACAUGUUUGCAUUUAAUAAACAUCAGUGCUGAACAUAAACUUUCUUAAUC
Long non-coding RNA from Monodelphis domestica (gray short-tailed opossum), 656 nucleotides. NCBI's taxonomy places the organism in Eukaryota, Metazoa, Chordata, Mammalia, Didelphimorphia, Didelphidae. The record is from Ensembl.